Ooceraea biroi (clonal raider ant) is the source of this 713-nucleotide long non-coding RNA. RefSeq lists it as uncharacterized. NCBI's taxonomy places the organism in Eukaryota, Metazoa, Arthropoda, Insecta, Hymenoptera, Formicidae. The record is from RefSeq and is a predicted model, not a curated record.
AACUUUCUUCUCACCGAGUAAAUUUCCAGAUAAAUUAUUUAAUUUAGCAUAAAUGUAACGCGAGGUGGUGCACGAUACUACCGUGCGAUUGUAACACCUGUUUGAUGACAAUUUAACGCCUUGGCUCGAGAAAAGUACUCAUCGAUUAAGUAAUUGUUACACGGAGAGAAGAAAAAUAUUCAACGUAUAUUUAUUUCCCCGCUGUACAAUAAUCGUAAAAUGAUAUCAGAGAUCGGAUAGGGACUAUCAAAAGAAGAGAUACCAGAGAUCGAAAUACGUAUAGGCGCAGUUGGUCGUUUUUCGUGCCCUUUAGUUUUCCUCUUUUCAUUCUGCAGUGAGCACUCGUUGAAUGAACAUAUGCUUUGAGCGAAGCUGCAUUCCAUCGACUUUACACAUAUGUGUCAAGUUUGAAAGUAUUACUGGUACAGUACAUAAAACUAUAAACUUUUAUUCGGAUUUAUUCUUCUGUCUUACGCUUGAAGAUUGAUUUAAUGACAAAUUUAAGAUAUUGAGUUAAACUUUAGGAUAUUGUGCUACAGAACGAAAUAUAAACAGAUACAGUUAAAUGCUUGAAUAUCAUCUUGCUUAAUUAUAUUAAUAAUCUUUUUUAUUGUUUUGAUAUGCUAUAUUGUUAUUUGAUGGAUUGUUGUAUCUUAAUUGCAUGUAGUAAAUGUAGCAUGUAUUAAUUGAUAAAAUAAAUGGUUAUUAUAACA